UUGAUACGGAUCCAAUAGGACAAAUUUCUAACAAUGGUGUGGAGCAAACUUAUAUCAUUCCAAUGGAUCCAAGAGUAGUUCAAAAUCAUAUUCAUAUAAUCCAUAUAUAUUUAGGGCGUGCUUUAACUCAUAUGGGACAGAUUUGGUGCAACAUUUGCAAUCAUAGGCUGAGGGAGCCUAAUCAAACCUAUGGGCUAAAACUACAUAAAGGAAAGCCUAAAGUGAAGAUCAAGUAAGGCUUUUGUGAAGAUUCAACUUUGUUAUGAUGGGCUUGCUAGUUUUAUUAUUUAAACACUUGUUUUAUUUUAGUUUUGUUUGGGCUUGUAUUCUGGCCAUAUUUUAUCUUUGAAGUUUUAGAGUGUUGGGCCAUGUUGUGG
RNAcentral lists this long non-coding RNA (377 nucleotides) under Manihot esculenta (cassava). RNAcentral describes it as "long non-coding RNA (MESC_LNC006034)". Lineage: Eukaryota; Viridiplantae; Streptophyta; Magnoliopsida; Malpighiales; Euphorbiaceae. The record is from RNAcentral.